RNAcentral lists this ribosomal RNA (358 nucleotides) under Planctomycetaceae bacterium. Its description in RNAcentral is "bacterial LSU rRNA". It matches the Rfam family "Bacterial large subunit ribosomal RNA", at positions 2563 to 2925 of the family's 2925-position model. Lineage: Bacteria; Pseudomonadati; Planctomycetota; Planctomycetia; Planctomycetales; Planctomycetaceae. The record is from RNAcentral.
UCCCAAGGGUUUGGCUGUUCGCCAAUGAAAGUGGUACGUGAGCUGGGUUCAGACCGUCGUGAGACAGGUCGGUCCCUAUCUGCCGUGGGCGUUCGAAACUUGAGGGGAUUCUUCUUUAGUACGAGAGGAUUUGGAAGGACGUAGCUCUGGUGUACCAGUUGUCACGCUAGUGGCACGGCUGGAUAGCUAUCUACGGAAAGGAUAAAAGCUGAAAGCAUCUAAGCGUGAAGCCCUCCCCGAGAUUAGGUUUCGUAGCAUUCGCGAAAGUCCCCAGGAAGACAACCUGGUUGAUAGGUCGGAAGUGUAAGCGCAGCAAUGCGUUCAGCGAACCGAUACUAACGGACGAAAGCUUGGCCAC